CCCAAUUGUGUCUCCUUAAAGGUUCUCCAACCCAUCCAGCACUGCAGCACCUUUGCGUUAUCACUGCCUUCAGAUUUACCCUAGGCAGAUGCUGUCCUCUGCCUGUGAGGCCUCGUAAAAAAAGGGGCAAUAUAGAUGAUUGACUUGGGUUGCUUUUCUCUAGUCAAGAUCCAAUAGAUGAUCGAUUUUCACAUCUAUGAGAGUGUAUAUGGCAAUGGAAGCGUCUUGAUUUCACCCUACCUGGCUGCUUGGUCUUCAGGAAUGCUGGUUGGGUCGUCCAAGCCUAUGGGCAUAUUGCUGCUACCAACGUUGCGCUGCAAGUCUCUUUUCCAAUUAGAGUUUGUGGAGCUAUAGAUCCAACUUGUGAUUUCCAGGCAUUUUGGUUAAAGUGGCUUGAAGUUA
Molecule: non-coding RNA, 402 nt
Organism: Odocoileus virginianus texanus
Lineage: Eukaryota; Metazoa; Chordata; Mammalia; Artiodactyla; Cervidae
Source: RefSeq, a predicted model, not a curated record